GAGACGGGGUGAUCGCCGAUGGGGAGUGCUGCGACGUCGCAGCCGGCGCUAGCGGCGAUGGGAAAAGUUGAUGCUCGUGUUCUUCCCCGUCCGCCAGGAAGAGGUCGACGUUUCGCGAGCGCGAAAGGCAUGUGCGCCGCCGUUGUGAUCGGUGACGAGUUAUCCAAUGUUGAAACUUGAAAAUUGUGAACAAAGCAGUGCAUGAGGAGAUGAGGUGGAGAAGUCACUGUUGCAUCUUCUUUAUAUGCUACCUAUAUAUGUAUAUCACAUAUGUUAAUAAGAAGAAACUUUCUUAAAACUUCCGAUGACCUUUCUAUGCAUGUUCACUCUGUAAAUUGCUUGCUAUAAAUUUUCUUCAGGGAAGGGCAUGUGGAAGACUUUCUCCUUUUGUAUUGUCUUCUCUGAAUAUUGUGGGUAGCAAGCAGUGUUUUAUGUAUAAACAAAUAUACUGAUGUAA
Molecule: long non-coding RNA, 457 nt
Organism: Lolium rigidum
Lineage: Eukaryota; Viridiplantae; Streptophyta; Magnoliopsida; Poales; Poaceae
Exons: 2
Source: RefSeq, a predicted model, not a curated record